CCAAUCUCAUUGGACUAGCAGAGGAAACCACAGAAGGUCUCGUUAGGAAUGCUGCACUCAUUUUAUUGCCAGCACUAUUUAAAGAAAACGCCAGCUUCCUCUACUGUGUAGAUAGUGAACCCAAAGGUGCUACACCAACCAUAGUGUUUAACGGCUCUCCUGAUCCCCUCAAGGCUGAAAGCGUCAGCAUUAUAAUGGACAAUGUGAACAUCAUAAGAGAGGCAGACAUUGACAUGACACAGGCUGUGGAAUGCCUAUUUGCAGUCUAUUUUCUCUUCAAUGUGCAAUACCCGGUUGACAUUAAGCACACAAUGACUUUUAUUCAAAAAUAUAUGCUUAAACUUAGACAAGAGCACGGCAAAAGAACACCAAUACCUGUACUGAAAAUGUACAGUCAACUUGUGUAAAUUGUAGAGCUAUUUAAUAGUUGUUUUAAUUGUUCAUGUAUUGAUUUUUAUCUGCACUGUCAAAUAUCAAAAAUGAUUUAGUUUUUCCUCCUUUCAGAGAUAUAUGUAAAAGUGAAGUACUGUAUAUGUACAUAAACAAGCUUAUGUAUGUUUUUUG
Molecule: long non-coding RNA, 564 nt
Organism: Carassius auratus (goldfish)
Lineage: Eukaryota; Metazoa; Chordata; Actinopteri; Cypriniformes; Cyprinidae
Exons: 3
Source: RefSeq, a predicted model, not a curated record